This 245-nucleotide long non-coding RNA is filed under the name Mytilus galloprovincialis (Mediterranean mussel). The record is from RNAcentral. Lineage: Eukaryota; Metazoa; Mollusca; Bivalvia; Mytilida; Mytilidae.
UAUCUAUUGAUGUAAGCUCCCUUUCAAUUUUUAUAAAUUUCAGAUUUUACAUUUCCGUGUUAUGAAUUUUUUUGCUUUAAAAAGGGGGGAUUUUCCAAUUUUGGGACAAUAACUAGCACUUUCACAAAAUUUUAUGCAACUUUGAUAAAUUGUUUAUAUCUAUUGACAUAAGCUCCCUUUCCAUUUUUAUAAAUUUUAGAUUUUACGUUUUCUUAAGUAAUGAAUUUUUAUACUUAAAAAAGGGG